This 114-nucleotide ribosomal RNA is filed under the name uncultured eukaryote. Its description in RNAcentral is "partial small subunit ribosomal RNA". It matches the Rfam family "Bacterial small subunit ribosomal RNA", at positions 1412 to 1525 of the family's 1533-position model. The record is from RNAcentral.
UGGCUUUACCUGAAGACGGUGCGCUAACCGCAAGGAGGCAGGCGACCACGGUAGGGUCAGCAACUGGGGUGAAGUCGUAACAAGGUAGCCGUAGGUGAACCUGCAGAAGGAUCA